AUACUUGAGGAAAAUGAGGGUGAUAGAGUAAAAUAUGCAUUUUCGAAAAAAAAAAGAAAAAAAAUUGAUGACAUUUUCGUGGAUAAUCUGAACUUUGGGGAUGAAAAAGGCAAGCCAAAGUUUCAAUAAAAGCAUGAGUUAGUUUUGUGUUUGACUUCAAGUUUUGAGUCAUAUUUGCAAAAACCCCUACAUAUAGAUGUAAAUGAUGAAUACGUUUCUUUAUUAAAUUUAUUAUUUGUUUAGUUUUUUUAUAAAAACUGUUUUUAUUUAUUAAAAAUAUCCAUUUAAAUGUUCAAUAAACAAAAACAUAUAAUUAGUUUCUAAAGAUAAUUUUUGAAAAAUGAAAAAUGUUUUUAAUAUUUAUAAGCUUAUGUAAGGAAACUUGUAUUUAAAGUUCAGAAAUAGAAAAAUUUUCUGAAAAUAAGAAAAAAAAAUUAAUAACUGAAUAAUUUUAAUAAUAGAUAUUGGAGAAUGAAGGGAAAUGGAAAUUAUUUUAAAAAUUAUUGGUUCAAGUAGAUCUUAGCAAAUUUAAAGGGGUUAAUAAACUAAUUAGUGUAUACCAUUUAACCAAAUCUUUUUUAAACUACAAAGAAACUUUAGUUUCCAAAAGGGAAAUUGCAUGGUAUAAUACCAAAAAAAUUCAAAAUUCACUCACUAACCAAAAUAACACUCUCUCACCUCUUUUUUCUUCCUAUCUUUCUCUACCUUCUUUCUACAAAACCAAUUUUCCUUUCUUUUUUGGCUAUUUCACAAAUAAACCAUACCCCCACCCCCCUCCUUUGAUGUUGUUUAGAUGGCAUUCCUCGGUGGUUGUGGAUAUUGAUAACACACCUGUACAUCCGCCACUGGUCGCAUCAAUCCCAUUUGAAGAGUCGAACAGGACGUUCCUAUCCAAACUGGAAAGAGGUUGAGACUUGGACUAAGGACGUGGAGAGCAUUCCACCAGAUGGAAUGGAGCUUAAGAAAUAUAAGUAUUGGUCUAUUUAAAUCCUCUUUGCUGGUCUGUGAAAAGUUUUGACAAAUCUUUAAACUUUUUUUUCGCUUGAGUUUGUCUCUUUAUUUCUGCAUUGUGGUCUGAGAAAACGAAUCUUAUAUUGUAUUAUAAAACUUCUCAAGUUUUGGGUUUUGUACUUUGUUAAGGUGUUAUUAUUUGGGUUUGUGAAUCAUGUGUGAACAUUUAUGUUCCACACACCGUUUGUAGUACCUUUUUGAUUGUACGCUCCAAUUCUGGUUUAACAUAUCUACAAAUUAUUAGACCUUUCAAAACCUGUGAUCAGUCUAAAAAUUACCU
Long non-coding RNA from Brassica napus (rape), 1291 nucleotides. RefSeq lists it as uncharacterized. Lineage: Eukaryota; Viridiplantae; Streptophyta; Magnoliopsida; Brassicales; Brassicaceae. The transcript is spliced from 2 exons. The record is from RefSeq and is a predicted model, not a curated record.